RNAcentral lists this ribosomal RNA (615 nucleotides) under uncultured Vibrio sp. RNAcentral's name for it is "bacterial SSU rRNA". It matches the Rfam family "Bacterial small subunit ribosomal RNA", at positions 143 to 753 of the family's 1533-position model. The record is from RNAcentral. Lineage: Bacteria; Pseudomonadati; Pseudomonadota; Gammaproteobacteria; Vibrionales; Vibrionaceae.
AUAACUAUUGGAAACGAUGGCUAAUACCGCAUGAUGCCUACGGGCCAAAGAGGGGGACCUUCGGGCCUCUCGCGUCAGGAUAUGCCUAGGUGGGAUUAGCUAGUUGGUGAGGUAGGGGCUCACCAAGGCAACGAUCCCUAGCUGGUCUGAGAGGAUGAUCAGCCACACUGGAACUGAGACACGGUCCAGACUCCUACGGGAGGCAGCAGUGGGGAAUAUUGCACAAUGGGCGCAAGCCUGAUGCAGCCAUGCCGCGUGUGUGAAGAAGGCCUUCGGGUUGUAAAGCACUUUCAGUCGUGAGGAAGACGGCGUCGUUAAUAGCGGCGUUGUUUGACGUUAGCGACAGAAGAAGCACCGGCUAACUCCGUGCCAGCAGCCGCGGUAAUACGGAGGGUGCGAGCGUUAAUCGGAAUUACUGGGCGUAAAGCGCAUGCAGGUGGUUUGUUAAGUCAGAUGUGAAAGCCCGGGGCUCAACCUCGGAAUAGCAUUUGAAACUGGCAGACUAGAGUACUGUAGAGGGGGGUAGAAUUUCAGGUGUAGCGGUGAAAUGCGUAGAGAUCUGAAGGAAUACCGGUGGCGAAGGCGGCCCCCUGGACAGAUACUGACACUCAGAUG